This 379-nucleotide ribosomal RNA is filed under the name uncultured eukaryote. RNAcentral's name for it is "partial 18S ribosomal RNA". It matches the Rfam family "Eukaryotic small subunit ribosomal RNA", at positions 592 to 976 of the family's 1831-position model. The record is from RNAcentral.
CAAUAGCGUAUAUUUAAGUUGUUGCAGUUAAAAAGCUCGUAGUUGGAUUUCGGAUGGGAUUUGCCGGUCCGUCGUUACGAUGUGCACUGGCCAGUCCUAUCUUGUUGUCGGGGACUAGCUCCUUGGAUUCACUUCCUGGGACUAGGAGCUGACGAGGUUACUUUGAGUAAAUUAGAGUGUUCAAAGCAAGCCUACGCCCUGAAUACAUUAGCAUGGAAUAACACGAUAGGACUCUGGCUUAUCUUGUUGGUCUGUGAGACCAGAGUAAUGAUUAAGAGGGACAGUCGGGGACAUUCGUAUUUCAUUGUCAGAGGUGAAAUUCUUGGAUUUAUGAAAGACGAACUUCUGCGAAAGCAUUUGGCAAGGAUGUUUUCAUUAA